This 634-nucleotide long non-coding RNA is filed under the name Homo sapiens (human). Its description in RNAcentral is "HSALNT0036470". The record is from RNAcentral. Lineage: Eukaryota; Metazoa; Chordata; Mammalia; Primates; Hominidae.
UGGCAGUACCAGCAGUGCCCCAGUCCCCAUAGUCUCCUGUUUCAGUCGUUAAAAGGCGAUUUUGACUCUCCCUUUGUAGAAAUCAUACAGCUUCUGUAUCUGAUCAGAAGGUCAACAACACAAUCAUCUGAUGUUAGGCUAGAGGUAAGAACAGCCGGCUCUGGGGUUCCCGGAGGAAGGAAUUGCCAAUCUCGCCUGAAAGAACUGGUGUGAAGCCACUGGCGGAGUAUCCAGGGGCCGAGGGCUGAUGCAUUUCUCCUCAUCCACCUCACUCUGACCCCGGAUGCCAGUUAACCCAGGAGAGGUCCCUGAACACAACCCCGAUGCAAGCAAAGGUGGUGGACAAUACGGAGGAGGAUGAAGAGGCAUGGUCCACCACAACAGGUUGCCCAGAGAGGCUGUAGAGAGUUUAAAAGGAAGGAGUGAGAGGGAUCACCAGACCAUGAAAAGGCUGAAGGACAAAACCGUGGAGAAAGUACAAGCAUACCUGGGAGAUACCGAGGGUUCAGAUCCAGACCACCACAAUCAAGCAUCCCCUGUGGGAGGAAGGAGGAGCUCAAGGUCAGGAGAGCACUGUUCCCUGGGAGUGUAAAAUCAAUGGAUGACAUCCUUCCUGAGACUUAAGAAAGUCCAG